This 243-nucleotide ribosomal RNA is filed under the name uncultured Staphylococcus sp. RNAcentral's name for it is "partial 16S ribosomal RNA". It matches the Rfam family "Bacterial small subunit ribosomal RNA", at positions 96 to 334 of the family's 1533-position model. Lineage: Bacteria; Bacillati; Bacillota; Bacilli; Caryophanales; Staphylococcaceae. The record is from RNAcentral.
CGGCGGACGGGUGAGUAACACGUGAUAACCUACCUAUAAGACUGGGAUAACUUCGGGAAACCGGAGCUAAUACCGGAUAAUAUAUUGAACCGCAUGGUUCAAUAGUGAAAGACGGUUUUGCUGUCACUUAUAGAUGGAUCCGCGCCGCAUUAGCUAGUUGGUAAGGUAACGGCUUACCAAGGCAACGAUGCGUAGCCGACCUGAGAGGGUGAUCGGCCACACUGGAACUGAGACACGGUCCAG